ACAGAGCAAGGUAGCUUUUCAAAAUUUAUUUCAAUAAUUAAACAAGUUAAACUCAGUUUAUCUUUAAAACGUAUCCUUUGAACACUGACGUGAAUACAAUGAGAAAGAGCUGGACACCCUUGCACUCAAGACGAAAAGCCCCCCCCCCCAAAAAAAAACAAAAAACGAAAACAAAACAUAUUCUAACAUUAAAGCACUUGCGGUUGCAUUUGUAUUGAAAUAUACUGAAUAAAGUGCACUCUCAUACAAACAAAACAAUGUGCUGAAGCAACAGAUUUCACACCAGUUCAGUUGAAAUUUGCAUAUGUGGAAAUAAAAAGUCUAAUUGCAGAGUAGGCACUCAAAGUAAAAACACAUGCC
Long non-coding RNA from Hippocampus comes (tiger tail seahorse), 360 nucleotides. RefSeq lists it as uncharacterized. The transcript is spliced from 3 exons. Lineage: Eukaryota; Metazoa; Chordata; Actinopteri; Syngnathiformes; Syngnathidae. The record is from RefSeq and is a predicted model, not a curated record.